This 100-nucleotide small nuclear RNA is filed under the name Cervus hanglu yarkandensis (Yarkand deer). The record is from RNAcentral. Lineage: Eukaryota; Metazoa; Chordata; Mammalia; Artiodactyla; Cervidae.
GUACUCGCUUCGGCAGCACUCUGGAACGAUACAGAGAAGAAGAUUAGCAUGGUCCCUGCGCAAGGAUGACACGCAAAUUUGUGAAGCAUUCCAUAUUUUU